GAUGAAGAACGCAGUGAAAUGCGAUAAGUAAUGUGAAUUGCAGAAUUCAGUGAAUCAUCGAAUCUUUGAACGCACAUUGCGCCCCUUGGUAUUCCGAGGGGCAUGCCUGUUCGAGCGUCAUUAUAACCCCUCAAGCUCAGCUUGGUGUUGGGGCCUGCUGCACUGGCAGCCCUUAAAACCAGUGGCGGCGCCAUCUGGCUCUAAGCGUAGUAAUUCUUCUCGCUAUGGAGUCCUGGUGGAUGCUUGCCAUCAACCCCCAAUUUUUCUAUGGUUGACCUCGGAUCAGGUAGGGAUACCCGCUGAACUUAAGCAUAUCAAUAAGCGGAGGA
Molecule: unclassified non-coding RNA, 329 nt
Filed under: soil metagenome
Description: partial contains 5.8S ribosomal RNA, internal transcribed spacer 2, and large subunit ribosomal RNA
Rfam family: 5.8S ribosomal RNA (bases 1-120)
Source: RNAcentral